UUUAAGCUCCUUUUUGAGCUCUUCCAUGAGUUCUUUCUGGGCUUGAGACCAUUUCCCAUUUUUCUUUGGGGUUUUGCCCAUAGGUGUUUUGACAUUGUUGUCCUCUUCUGAGUUUGUGUCUUGGUCUUCCCUGUCACCAUAAUCACUUUCUGUGGUCAGAUUCUUUUUUUUUUUGCUGUUAUUAUUUGCUCCUCUUUUUUUGUAGGGGCUAUUUUUUCCUUUCUUUGAAAUUUGAGCUCUAUGCCAAGGAUAGAAGAGGCACUGUCCCAGGCUCCUUGUGCCAGUGGCUACCAACCCUGGCUGUUUACUUGGUGCUUCAUUGAUGUUGCCCUGAGGCCCUUGAGGGACCCUCGUUUCUGGUGAUGUACUGAGGGAGUAGAGUGGGGGUUGCCUGGAGCUGCUGGAGACUGUAGGGAUCUGGUGAUUCACCUGGUGCUUAGGUGCAGUCCUAGUGGUAGUAUCUGGUGUGUGCUGAGAGUGUUUAUGCAUUUCCCUGGGGCUACACUGAAAUACAUGAAAGUCUAGCUGCUGUACCAUCCUGUUUGCCAGGGGCUAUGCUGAAGCAUGUGGAGGUCUGAUCUCUGGGGGAUGCUUAUUUGCCUUUGUAUAUUCUGCCUUGAAUGCUCUGAUACUGCUUUCUCUUUUAGACCAGAACUUUGGCAGGGCCACAUUGGGACUAGCCAGGCCUCAGACUAAAUGUCCUUUAGAGCUCAAAGGUUGAAUUUAUGAAAAAUAUUAAUGAAAUUAUGGGAGGACAGAGCCAACUUAAGAAUGGGGUGCAUUGGAUACCUUACCUCUAUAGAAAAUACAAUUCAGAAGUCAAAAUCAGAAAACAAAAACAUUUAGCGCAAGAUAAUUUCAUAGAGAGAACAGAUAAGGUCAUCAAAGAAAAUACCUACAUUUAGAACAUGGGAAACUGGAAAAAUUGUACUGUUACUUGAAGAAAUAAUUAAGUAAGAAUGAACACCAAGUUUUGGAGUAAAGACAGCAAGUAAAUUUGUAUAUGUUGGUUUUUAGUUGCUGAUGGGUCAUCUUGGCAGGGAUAACCUUGACACAGAGCAACUUCAGUAAAAUCUUGAGGUUACCUAUAUUGUUAGGCUAAGACUGGUAAAUAUCCUUAAUUUUAUGUAUGACUUGGUUAUAUCAUAUAUAAUUUGUAUUAGUCAUUUUAAAGAUCUUUUCUCAUUUUUAGCUUAUAAUACUUGUUCAUUUUAG
This 1215-nucleotide long non-coding RNA is filed under the name Phascolarctos cinereus (koala). RNAcentral describes it as "lncRNA (ENSPCIG00000000284.2)". The record is from RNAcentral. Lineage: Eukaryota; Metazoa; Chordata; Mammalia; Diprotodontia; Phascolarctidae.